UCGCUUACUUCCGGUAUACUUCCGGAAAAUUUGCAUGAAAGUAGCAAGUGAACUUUGUUCUCUGUACAAUUCUAAGGAUUGAAUGCUAGAUUUUAGCUAACAAAAAUGCUUUUUUCAAGUUUUGUGAGUAUCUUAAGACUAGUCCUUCAAAUACUGAGUUUUGAGACGUGUCAAAAAUGUCAAAUAGAUGGCGUGUUCAUUGUGUUAUGGAAUGGCAGUUUGCUGUCAAAAGUUAAGCUAUCCUUUCUUUGACAAUUACCAAUGAAUUCAUAGGAGUUAACGUGAAAGGGUCGUGGCCGUAAUACAGCCUACUGCCUACCGUCAACUAUUAUGUUCAAAAUCAUAGUAUUCUACUGAAUGUGCCAUCGAAAUUAUACAGGAGUCAUAAUUAUCUGCUGUUUGUAUUGGACUUGCUAGAUCACCAACCCCAGCAUAGACCAAUCUCUCAUUUCUUUUUCUCGAGAGAAGAUUGGAUAACUGAUUGGUGUUUUCAUGUGUAGGUUCACUUAUCAUGUCACUGAACUUUUUCCGUUGCAGUCUAAUAUGUAUUUAAAGUAUUGAUCUCCACUUAUGUCUAUCUAAUGUUU
Long non-coding RNA from Daphnia pulex (common water flea), 587 nucleotides. RefSeq lists it as uncharacterized. The transcript is spliced from 3 exons. The record is from RefSeq and is a predicted model, not a curated record. Lineage: Eukaryota; Metazoa; Arthropoda; Branchiopoda; Diplostraca; Daphniidae.